UAGGUAGUUUCAUGUUGUUGGC
Molecule: microRNA, 22 nt
Filed under: Dasypus novemcinctus (nine-banded armadillo)
Lineage: Eukaryota; Metazoa; Chordata; Mammalia; Cingulata; Dasypodidae
Description: dno-miR-196c-5p
Gene: dno-miR-196c-5p
Source: miRBase by way of RNAcentral